GAUGAACGCUGGCGGCGUGCCUAAUACAUGCAAGUCGAGCGAACAGAUGAGGAGCUUGCUCCUCUGACGUUAGCGGCGGACGGGUGAGUAACACGUGGAUAACCUACCUAUAAGACUGGGAUAACUUCGGGAAACCGGAGCUAAUACCGGAUAAUAUAUUGAACCGCAUGGUUCAAUAGUGAAAGACGGUUUUGCUGUCACUUAUAGAUGGAUCCGCGCCGCAUUAGCUAGUUGGUAAGGUAACGGCUUACCAAGGCAACGAUGCGUAGCCGACCUGAGAGGGUGAUCCGCCACACUGGAACUGAGACACGGUCCCGACUCCUACGGGAGGCAGCAGUAGGGAAUCUUCCGCAAUGGGCGAAAGCCUGACGGAGCAACGCCGCGUGAGUGAUGAAGGUCUUCGGAUCGUAAAACUCUGUUAUUAGGGAAGAACAAAUGUGUAAGUAACUAUGCACGGCUUGACGGUACCUAAUCAGAAAGCCACGGCUAACUACGUG
RNAcentral lists this ribosomal RNA (497 nucleotides) under uncultured bacterium. RNAcentral's name for it is "partial 16S ribosomal RNA". It matches the Rfam family "Bacterial small subunit ribosomal RNA", at positions 28 to 507 of the family's 1533-position model. The record is from RNAcentral.